This 654-nucleotide ribosomal RNA is filed under the name uncultured organism. RNAcentral describes it as "SSU rRNA". It matches the Rfam family "Bacterial small subunit ribosomal RNA", at positions 48 to 698 of the family's 1533-position model. The record is from RNAcentral.
CUUACACAUGCAAGUCGAACGGUAACAGGUCUUCGGACGCUGACGAGUGGCGAACGGGUGAGUAAUACAUCGGAACGUGCCCAGUCCCGGGGGAUAACUACUCGAAAGACUUGCUAAUACCGCAUACAAUCUGAAGAUGAAAGCGUGUGGACCUUCGGGCCUCGCGCGAUUGGAGCGGCCGAUGGCAGAUUAGGUAGUUGGUGGGAUAAAAGCUUACCGAGCCGACGAUCUGUAGCUGGUCUGAGAGGACGACCAGCCACACUGGGACUGACACACUGGCCACACUCCUACGGGAGGCACCCGUGGGGAAUUUUGGACAAUGGGCGAAAGCCUGAUCCAGCAAUGCCGCGUGCAGGAUGAAGGCCUUCGGGUUGUAAGCUGCUUUUGUACGGAACGAAUUAGCUUCUCCUAAUACGAGAGGCCCAUGACGGGACCGUAAGAAUAAGCACCGGCUAACUACGUGCCAACAGCCGCGGUAAUACCUAGGGUGCGAGCGUUAAUCGGAAUUACUGGGCGUUUAGCGUGCGCAGGCGGAUAUGUAGCACAGAUGUGAAAUCCCCGGGCUCUACCUGAGAACUGCAUUUGUGACUGCAUGGCUAUAGUACUGUAGAGGGCGAUGGAAUUCCGCGUGUAUCAGGGAAAUGCGUAGAUAUG